This 412-nucleotide long non-coding RNA is filed under the name Rattus norvegicus (Norway rat). RNAcentral describes it as "long non-coding RNA NONRATT029372". The record is from RNAcentral. Lineage: Eukaryota; Metazoa; Chordata; Mammalia; Rodentia; Muridae.
GCUUUGGGGAGGUGGGGCGGGAGGGGGAGGCGGCCAGCUCACUUAGCUUUCCUACUUGGUGGUCUAGAUCUUGCUGGGAGGUGGCGCCGCGUUGAUGGGGUGCCCCGGUGGGAAUGCGAGCUGUGGCCCAGCCCUUCAGGUCUCAUUGGUUGUGGAUGGGAUCGAGCGCUGUUGGGCGGAGGUAGCUUUUGGCGGUGCCAACACGGAGGGUUGUGCUCCGUAGCCGCGGGUCCCUCGGCUCCACUUGCAGGGUGCGGGCCGUGAACUCGUGAGCAGUGCUGGGCGGGGGUGUGGGGGGCUCCAGGGGGAGGAGCCGGGACCACGACCAAAGGACGUCCGCCCUCCUCGGGGAAGACGCUGUCCCCGCUGCCUGGCCACGCCGCACCUUUUCAGAUUUUCGGCUCCCGCCCUG